GUCUAUGGCCAUGCUACCCUGAACAAGCUCAAUCCCAUCUGAUCUCAGAAGCUAAGCAGGGUCGGGCUUGGUUAGUACUUGGAUGGGAGACCACCUAGGAAGACCAGGUGCUAUAGGCA
Molecule: ribosomal RNA, 119 nt
Filed under: Pteropus alecto (black flying fox)
Lineage: Eukaryota; Metazoa; Chordata; Mammalia; Chiroptera; Pteropodidae
Source: RNAcentral